This 175-nucleotide unclassified non-coding RNA is filed under the name Moritella viscosa. RNAcentral's name for it is "putative sRNA". The record is from RNAcentral. Lineage: Bacteria; Pseudomonadati; Pseudomonadota; Gammaproteobacteria; Alteromonadales; Moritellaceae.
AUAAUGGGUGGAGAGUCACCCAUGAUAAAAGUGGGAUUGGGGUGAAUACCACCAAUCGAGUGAUAAGAUAAAGAAUACCUCGGAGCUUAAUAACCCCAUCCAGAAAUUUAUUCUAAUAAAAACAAUAUUGCACUAUAAAUACAGCGACCAAUCACAAUGAAAAACAAAUAAAUAC